AAACUUUCAACAACGGAUCUCUUGGUUUCGCAUCGAUGAAAACGCACGAACUGCGAUAAGUAAUGUGAAUUGCAGAAUUUUGUGAAUCAUCGAAUCUUUGACGCACAUUGCGCCUUUUGGUAUUCCAAAAGGCAUACCUGUUUGAGAGUCAU
Molecule: ribosomal RNA, 152 nt
Filed under: Blastobotrys raffinosifermentans
Lineage: Eukaryota; Fungi; Ascomycota; Dipodascomycetes; Dipodascales; Trichomonascaceae
Description: 5.8S ribosomal RNA
Rfam family: 5.8S ribosomal RNA
About the family: 5.8S ribosomal RNA (5.8S rRNA) is a component of the large subunit of the eukaryotic ribosome.
Source: RNAcentral